Molecule: long non-coding RNA, 240 nt
Organism: Myotis lucifugus (little brown bat)
Lineage: Eukaryota; Metazoa; Chordata; Mammalia; Chiroptera; Vespertilionidae
Exons: 2
Source: RefSeq, a predicted model, not a curated record
GUGGAAACAAUUAGUGUGUUUUUGUGUUGUCUUACUUGUGGAGGCAUUUGAAUGCACAUCUCUUAACCUGACCAAGAUCCAAAACAUAUGGACAUCUUACAUCUUUAUGCUCUCUGGAAGCAGAAGUGGGUGCUGUAUGGCGAUGUUUCCCCUGAGAAGUGCUGGCCAGGAGUGUGGGGUCUGGAGUAAUAAAUGAUUCUUAAGUCAGUGAGGAAACUGGGCUUAAAGAUCAUCAAUCCA